Molecule: long non-coding RNA, 518 nt
Organism: Rhinopithecus roxellana (golden snub-nosed monkey)
Lineage: Eukaryota; Metazoa; Chordata; Mammalia; Primates; Cercopithecidae
Exons: 3
Source: RefSeq, a predicted model, not a curated record
GUAUUUCUUGAAUCACAAAAGUUUUAAACUUUGAUGAAAUACAUUUUUUUAUGGAUUAUGAUUUUGAUGAUAUAUCUAAAAACUCUGGCUGAAGUCCUGAAGAUGUUCUAUGUUUUCUUCUAGAUGUUUUAUACUUUUGGCUCUAACAUCUAGAUUUACGAUCCAUUUUGAGUUAAUUUUUUAGUAUGAGAACUGCCUUGGCACCUUUUCAAAAUCAACAAACCAUAAAUGUCAGCGUUUAUUACUGGACUCCAACUUUAGUCCAUUGAUCUUUGUGCCCAUCUUUAUGCCAGGAUGACACUGUUCUGACUGAUGUCACUCUAGGAAGCUCUGAAGAGAGAAAUAGACCCAAACUCUGCCAAGGUUCCACACUGGCUGUGACCAGAGCAGGUGUCUCCACCUUCUGGACGCGAGUGUCCUCAUCUGUAAGAUUUUCCUUGUGCUAAAUCAUGGAAAUAUUUCAAGAAAAUCAUGGCUUUAAACACCUUCAAUAGAACAAAAGCUGUCCUGAACAUUUG